RNAcentral lists this ribosomal RNA (143 nucleotides) under Escherichia coli. Its description in RNAcentral is "partial 23S ribosomal RNA". It matches the Rfam family "Bacterial large subunit ribosomal RNA", at positions 1 to 142 of the family's 2925-position model. Lineage: Bacteria; Pseudomonadati; Pseudomonadota; Gammaproteobacteria; Enterobacterales; Enterobacteriaceae. RNAcentral also lists the same sequence under 1 other name. The record is from RNAcentral.
GGUUAAGCGACUAAGCGUACACGGUGGAUGCCCUGGCAGUCAGAGGCGAUGAAGGACGUGCUAAUCUGCGAUAAGCGUCGGUAAGGUGAUAUGAACCGUUAUAACCGGCGAUUUCCGAAUGGGGAAACCCAGUGUGAUUCGUC